RNAcentral lists this ribosomal RNA (402 nucleotides) under uncultured bacterium. RNAcentral describes it as "bacterial SSU rRNA". It matches the Rfam family "Bacterial small subunit ribosomal RNA", at positions 355 to 774 of the family's 1533-position model. The record is from RNAcentral.
UGGGGAAUCUUGCACAAUGGGGGCAACCCUGAUGCAGCGACGCCGCGUGAGCGAUGAAGCCCUUCGGGGCGUAAAGCUCUUUCGACCGGAACGAUAAUGACGGUACCGGGAGAAGAAGCUGCGGCUAACUACGUGCCAGCAGCCGCGGUAAUACGUAGGCAGCAAGCGUUGUUCGGAGUUACUGGGCGUAAAGAGUGCGUAGGCGGUUUUCUAAGUUCGGUGUGAAAUCUCCCGGCUUAACUGGGAGGGUGCGCCGAAGACUGGGAAGCUGGAGUGUGGGAAAGGCAGGCGGAAUUCCUGGUGUGGCGGUAAAAUGCGUAGAUAUCAGGAGGAACACCGGCGGUGUAGACGGCUUGCUAGACCAUAACUGACGCUGAGGCACGAAAGCGUGGGUAGCAAACA